RNAcentral lists this ribosomal RNA (557 nucleotides) under Lichtheimia ramosa. RNAcentral describes it as "eukaryotic LSU rRNA". The stretch from base 138 to 291 matches the Rfam family "5.8S ribosomal RNA". The record is from RNAcentral. Lineage: Eukaryota; Fungi; Mucoromycota; Mucoromycetes; Mucorales; Lichtheimiaceae.
UCUUUCAGGAGACCUAUGUCUCGAGUCAAAGCAAGCAAGGCAAGCCUUUGGGGCUCUAGUACUAACUAUCCCCAAAGGUGUUUAUUCUUCUCGUGUAAACCAUGAUGUACGAAAAAGUUAGUUGUUAACUUAAAAACAACUCUUGGCAAUGGAUCUCUUGGUUCUCGCAUCGAUGAAGAGCGUAGCAAAGUGCGAUAAUUAUUGCGACUUGCAUUCAUAGCGAAUCAUCGAGUUCUCGAACGCAUCUUGCGCCUAGUAGUCAAUCUACUAGGCACAGUUGUUUCAGUAUCUGCAACUACCAAUCAGUUCAACUUGGUUCUUUGAACCUAAGCGAGCUGGAAAUGGGCUUGUGUUGAUGGCAUUCAGUUGCUGUCAUGGCCUUAAAUACAUUUAGUCCUAGGCAAUUGGCUUUAGUCAUUUGCCGGAUGUAGACUCUAGAGUGCCUGAGGAGCAACGACUUGGUUAGUGAGUUCAUAAUUCCAAGUCAAUCAGUCUCUUCUUGAACUAGGUCUUAAUCUUUACGGACUAGCGAGAGGAUCUAACUUGGGUCUUCUCUU